AUGAACAUCAAUAGAAAGACUCGGAUACAAAUGUAACUUACUGCAAAGGUAUGGCAGUGGGAGGAGCACAUGGGUUACUGAUCAAUAUGGAUGGUGACUAGCAUAUUGAUAGGGGAAGUGGGACAGUGAUGAGGUUCGACUAUUGAAAUCAAAGCAGCCUAAUUCUCUUAUUGGGUCAGUGUUCUCAGAACACGUGGGUGAAUACAAAACAGCCAUUGAUUCUUUGGUAGCGAAACUCUUUGGUCUUUAACAUCAUGAUUGAGCUGUCCACAAUUGCAAUUCUUGAAUUUUCUGUCCUCUGUGCUCUGAUUAAUUAUUUUUACUAAGAGCUUUGAGUGGAUAUAUAUUUUGAUACCUGCCUCAAGUCUCAUA
Molecule: long non-coding RNA, 372 nt
Organism: Rhodamnia argentea
Lineage: Eukaryota; Viridiplantae; Streptophyta; Magnoliopsida; Myrtales; Myrtaceae
Exons: 3
Source: RefSeq, a predicted model, not a curated record